Lolium perenne is the source of this 812-nucleotide non-coding RNA. NCBI's taxonomy places the organism in Eukaryota, Viridiplantae, Streptophyta, Magnoliopsida, Poales, Poaceae. The record is from RefSeq and is a predicted model, not a curated record.
CACUAGUAGAAAACCUCACAUCCAUCUAAGCCAUUGGUACCGGUUCCCUUACGAACCGGUACCAAUGGGGCCAUUUGUACCGGUUUGAGGGCUCAGGUGGGCGAGGGGCUUUCGUACCGGUUUGGGAGGGGCUUUCGUACCGGUUCGUGUUAGGAACCGGUACGAAAGGUCUUCGGCCAAAAUUCAGACGCGUGGUGGGGCCCGGGCUGGACCUUUGGUACCGGUUCGUAACACGAACCGGUACCAAAGGGUACCCAGCCAUAUCAAAAUCGCCCAGCUCGUCCCGAGCCCCCUGCUGGCUCUCAUUUUUCUCAUCUUCCUCACACUCUAAAUUUUUCUCCACCUCUCACACACUCCAAUAAUCUUUAUUUUUCUCCACCAUUUUAACAAGAUUAACGGCAUACAUCUAUCCAAGGGUUAGCAAUAUCAUCCUUCCUUCCGGCGUUCCUAAUUUAGCUCAGUUCUUUGGUAGUUUUAACUCGUACUAUUUUUGUAGUGCAAUCAAGGUGUUCGAUGAAAUGCCUAAGUUAGUGAUUUUAUUUUUUUAUAUGCAAUUUGAGCUGAAAUUAUGGUAUGUUUUGUAGGUUUUAAUUAGUAUCAUCCCCGUCCUCACCGCCGUCGAUCGCUAGCGUCGUCCCCUAGCCGGCACGGUACCACCUCGAUGAGUCGACAAUGGAUGUACGGUGACCGGUGCCAUCCCGAGUUCAUUACUGGCAUGCAUUAUUUUCUCAACGUGGCUGAGGCAAACAGGCAGUCGAAUGGUUUCAUGUAUUGUCCAUGUAGUUCCUGUAAGAAUAUGAAGGAUUACUCUA